Molecule: ribosomal RNA, 460 nt
Filed under: uncultured bacterium
Lineage: Bacteria
Description: partial 16S ribosomal RNA
Rfam family: Bacterial small subunit ribosomal RNA
Source: RNAcentral
CCUACGGGAUGCAGCCGUGAGGAAUAUUGGUCAAUGGACGAGAGUCUGAACCAGCCACGUAGCGUGAAGGAUGACUGCCCUAUGGGUUGUAAACUUCUUUUAUAUGGGAAUAAAAUGUUCCACGUGUGGGAUUUUGUAUGUACCAUAUGAAUAAGGAUCGGCUAACGCGGUGCCAGCAGCCGCGGUAAUACGGAGGAUCCGAGCGUUAUACGGAUGUAUUGGGUUUAAAGGUAGCGUAGGUGGAUUGUUAAGUCAGUUUUGAAAGUUUGCGGCUCAACCGUAAAAUUGCAGUUGAAACUGGCAGUCUUGAGUACAGUAGAGGUGGGCGGAAUUCGUGGUGUAGCGGUGAAAUGCUUAGAUAUCACGAAGAACUCCGAUUGCGAAGGCAGUUCACUGGACUGCAACUGACACUGAGGCUCGAAAGUGUGGGUAUCAAACAGGAUUAGAUACCCUGGUAGUC